UUUGGUUUUUNNCCUGGCUCAGGAUGAACGCUGGCGGCGUGCCUAAUACAUGCAAGUCGAACGAACUUCCGUUAAUUGAUUAUGASGUGCUUGCACUGAAUGAGAUUUUAACACGAAGUGAGUGGCGGACGGGUGAGUAACACGUGGGUAACCUGCCCAGAAGCAGGGGAUAACACCUGGAAACAGAUGCUAAUACCGUAUAACAGAGAAAACCGCCUGGUUUUCUUUUAAAAGAUGGCUCUGCUAUCACUUCUGGAUGGACCCGCGGCGCAUUAGCUAGUUGGUGAGGUAACGGCUCACCAAGGCGAUGAUGCGUAGCCGACCUGAGAGGGUAAUCGGCCACAUUGGGACUGAGACACGGCCCAGACUCCUACGGGAGGCAGCAGUAGGGAAUCUUCCACAAUGGACGCAAGUCUGAUGGAGCAACGCCGCGUGAGUGAAGAAGGGUUUCGGCUCGUAAAGCUCUGUUGUUAAAGAAGAACGUGGGUGAGAGUAACUGUUCACCCAGUGACGGUAUUUAACCAGAAAGCCACGGCUAACUACGUGCCAGCAGCCGGGGAAAUA
RNAcentral lists this ribosomal RNA (564 nucleotides) under Pediococcus acidilactici. RNAcentral's name for it is "bacterial SSU rRNA". It matches the Rfam family "Bacterial small subunit ribosomal RNA", at positions 1 to 525 of the family's 1533-position model. Lineage: Bacteria; Bacillati; Bacillota; Bacilli; Lactobacillales; Lactobacillaceae. The record is from RNAcentral.